CAAGAGUAUUUCAGUUUGGCUAUAUGCCCUCUGGAAAAUCUCCACCCUUUGUUUACACUACCUUUUGUUGUUGCCUUGGUGGGUGCCACCAUACACCUGCCGGCAGACACCUUUAAAACCCUUGAUUUAACUACUAUAGUCAGAGCUGUAACAAGCAAAAGAUUAAUAAAUCA
Molecule: unclassified non-coding RNA, 173 nt
Filed under: uncultured fungus
Lineage: Eukaryota; Fungi
Description: sequence contains ITS1
Source: RNAcentral